GGCGAGUGAAGCGGCAAAAGCUCAAAUUUGAAAUCUGGUACCUUUGGUGCCCGAGUUGUAAUUUGGAGAGUACCACUUUGGGACUGUACUUUGCCUAUGUUCCUUGGAACAGGACGUCAUGGAGGGUGAGAAUCCCGUGUGGCGAGGGUGUCAGUUCUUUGUAAAGGGUGCUCGAAGAGUCGAGUUGUUUGGGAAUGCAGCUCUAAGUGGGUGGUAAAUUCCAUCUAAAGCUAAAUACAGGCGAGAGACCGAUAGCGAACAAGUACAGUGAUGGAAAGAUGAAAAGAACUUUGAAAAGAGAGUGAAAAAGUACGUGAAAUUGUUGAAAGGGAAGGGCAUUUGAUCAGACAUGGUGUUUUGCGCCCCUUGCCUCUCGUGGGCUUGGGACUCUCGCAGCUCACUGGGCCAGCAUCGGUUUUGGCGGCCGGAAAAAACCUAGGGAAUGUGGCUCUGCGCCUCGGUGUAGAGUGUUAUAGCCCUGGGGAAUACGGCCAGCCGGGACCGAGGACUGCGAUACUUGUUAUCUAGGAUGCUGGCAUAAUGGUUAUAUGCCGCCCGU
RNAcentral lists this ribosomal RNA (559 nucleotides) under Nakaseomyces glabratus. RNAcentral describes it as "[Candida] glabrata partial large subunit ribosomal RNA". It matches the Rfam family "Eukaryotic large subunit ribosomal RNA", at positions 88 to 652 of the family's 3401-position model. Lineage: Eukaryota; Fungi; Ascomycota; Saccharomycetes; Saccharomycetales; Saccharomycetaceae. The record is from RNAcentral.